Molecule: ribosomal RNA, 773 nt
Filed under: uncultured Neocallimastigales
Lineage: Eukaryota; Fungi; Neocallimastigomycota; Neocallimastigomycetes; Neocallimastigales
Description: partial large subunit ribosomal RNA
Rfam family: Eukaryotic large subunit ribosomal RNA
Source: RNAcentral
GAGACUCUGUGCGCGUGCAUAUCAAUAAGCGGAGGAAAAGAAACUAACAAGGAUUCCCUUAGUAACGGCGAGUGAAGCGGGAAGAGCUCAAAUUUGAAAUCUUCAGGUUCUACCUUGACGAAUUGUAGUUUAUAGAAGUGUUUUCUGUUAGUAGAGUGGCAAAAGUUCUUUGGAAUAGGACAUCAUAGAGGGUGAGAAUCCCGUAUUUGGUCAUUCUUUCUAGCUUUGUGAUACACUUUCAACGAGUCGGAUUGUUUGGGAAUGCAGUCCAAAAUGGGUGGUAAAUUUCAUCUAAAGCUAAAUAUUGGCGAGAGACCGAUAGCGAACAAGUACCGUGAGGGAAAGAUGAAAAGAACUUUGAAAAGAGAGUUAAACAGUACGUGAAAUUGUCAAAAGGGAAGCGUUUGACACCAGUGUUGUUUUCUCGAAAAUCAAUUAAAAAUGGUGGGAUUUUGUGUUGUAUUGACUUUAUCAGCUUUCUGCACUUUUUUCCUAUCUUUUUUAAUGCACUUUUCGUUUGACAAGUCAACAUCAAUUUCUUUUGUUGUAAAAGGGUCAUUGGAAGGUGGCUUUCUUUUCGGAGAAAGUGUUUAUAGCCUUUGGCCUCUGCAAUCGGAGAGAUUGAGGUCUGCAGCGUAGAUCCUUCGGGGUUAGAUGCAUUUGUGCUAAGCUAUAGCCUUUCAUAGACAACUUGUUGACUAUGAUCAGUCAUGUAGCUUACUCGCUUAUGCUAUUUUACCUACGCUUAGGAUGUUGAGUCGUAGAGCACGCAG